CACACCGCCCGUCACGUCAUGGGAGUGGAUGGUACCAGAAGCGGAUAGCCCAACCUUCGGGGAGGCGUUUGCCACGGUAUGAUUCAUGACUGGGACG
Molecule: ribosomal RNA, 97 nt
Filed under: uncultured bacterium
Lineage: Bacteria
Description: partial 16S ribosomal RNA
Rfam family: Bacterial small subunit ribosomal RNA
Source: RNAcentral